RNAcentral lists this long non-coding RNA (243 nucleotides) under Elaeis guineensis (African oil palm). RNAcentral's name for it is "long non-coding RNA (EGUI_LNC024551)". The record is from RNAcentral. Lineage: Eukaryota; Viridiplantae; Streptophyta; Magnoliopsida; Arecales; Arecaceae.
GUUGCGGAAGAAAUCAUAAGAUUAGUCUCAAUCACGAGCAGAUCCAACAUACCUUCUAAAGGUGUGUCUCUUAAACUCUUCAAGAUCUCUUACUUAAUUUUUUGAUCUAAGACACAACCUAAUUACUCGAAACUCAAAAUACUUUUCAAGUUCCUAAGCCAAUUUUUAAAAUUGAAACCUAACAAUCAGUUGUAUUCAAAGAAGCGGGCAAGUCACUCAGAGGCAGACUAUUUUCCUACAGAG